CCUACGGGCGGCUGCAGUAGGGAAUCUUCGGCAAUGGGGGGAACCCUGACCGAGCAACGCCGCGUGAGUGAAGAAGGUUUUCGGAUCGUAAAGCUCUGUUGUAAGAGAAGAACGAGAGUGAGAGUGGAAAGUUCACACUGUGACGGUACCUUACCAGAAAGGGACGGCUAACUACGUGCCAGCAGCCGCGGUAAUACGUAGGUCCCGAGCGUUAUCCGGAUUUAUUGGGCGUAAAGCGGGCGCAGGCGGUUAGAUGGGUCUAGUGUGAAAGGCUGGGGGUGAACCAUAGUACGCUUUGGAAACUGUCGUACUUGAGUGCAGAAGGGGAGAGUGGAAUUCCGUGUGUAGCGGUGAAAUGCGUAGAUAUAUGGAGGAACACCGGUGGCGAAGGCGGCUCUCUGGUCUGUAACUGACGCUGAGGCUCGAAAGCGUGGGGAGCAAACAGGAUUAGAUACCCCAGUAGUC
This 465-nucleotide ribosomal RNA is filed under the name uncultured Streptococcus sp. RNAcentral describes it as "bacterial SSU rRNA". It matches the Rfam family "Bacterial small subunit ribosomal RNA", at positions 338 to 795 of the family's 1533-position model. The record is from RNAcentral. Lineage: Bacteria; Bacillati; Bacillota; Bacilli; Lactobacillales; Streptococcaceae.